UGGGGAAUAUUGCACAAUGGGCGCAAGCCUGAUGCAGCGACGCCGCGUGGGGGAUGACGGCCUUCGGGUUGUAAACUCCUUUCGCCAGGGACGAAGCGUUUUGUGACGGUACCUGGAGAAGAAGCACCGGCUAACUACGUGCCAGCAGCCGCGGUAAUACGUAGGGUGCAAGCGUUGUCCGGAAUUACUGGGCGUAAAGAGCUCGUAGGUGGUUUGUUUCACGUCGUCUGUGAAAUUCCACAGCUUAACUGUGGGCGUGCAGGCGAUACGGGCUGACUUGAGUACUGUAGGGGUAACUGGAAUUCCUGGUGUAGCGGUGAAAUGCGCAGAUAUCAGGAGGAACACCGAUGGCGAAGGCAGGUUACUGGGCAGUUACUGACGCUGAGGAGCGAAAGCAUGGGUAGCAAACAGGAUUAGAUACCCUGGUAGUCCAUGCCGUAAACGGUGGGCGCUAGGUGUAGGGGCCUUUUGGGGUUUCUGUGCCGUAGCUAACGCAUUAAGCGCCCCGCCUGGGGAGUACGGCCGCAAGGCUA
Molecule: ribosomal RNA, 533 nt
Filed under: uncultured bacterium
Lineage: Bacteria
Description: bacterial SSU rRNA
Rfam family: Bacterial small subunit ribosomal RNA
Source: RNAcentral